Molecule: small nuclear RNA, 104 nt
Organism: Cynocephalus volans (Philippine flying lemur)
Lineage: Eukaryota; Metazoa; Chordata; Mammalia; Dermoptera; Cynocephalidae
Source: RefSeq, a predicted model, not a curated record
GUGUUUGCUUUGGCAGCACAUAUACUAAAAUUGAAACGAUACAGAGAAGAUUAGCAUGGACACUAAAAAAAGAAUUACUUCACACUGCAACUAUGAGAAUUACU